AAAGACUUCAUUUUUCAGUUUUUGGAUACAACGUUUUGACUCUGUCUUUUUUAAAAAUACUCUAUGAUUAGUAUUUUUAUUGUUAUUGAAUGAUAAAACAUGAAUAGAACUUUAUACGUGACUAUUUUUUUUAUUUUCUCAUAAAAUUUUAAAAAAGGACGGACGGUUAAAUAUUGGACACAGAAACCUAAAAUUAGA
This is a microRNA precursor of Oryza sativa Japonica Group (Japanese rice), 198 nucleotides long. It matches the Rfam family "MIR812 microRNA precursor family". Lineage: Eukaryota; Viridiplantae; Streptophyta; Magnoliopsida; Poales; Poaceae. The record is from Rfam.